Molecule: ribosomal RNA, 450 nt
Filed under: uncultured bacterium
Lineage: Bacteria
Description: bacterial SSU rRNA
Rfam family: Bacterial small subunit ribosomal RNA
Source: RNAcentral
GUAGGGAAUAUUGCGCAAUGGGCGAAAGCCUGACGCAGCAACGCCGCGUGGGUGAUGAAGCUUUUCGGAGUGUAAAACCCUGUCAGUGGGGAAGAACCGCAUCGGGAGUCACUGCCCGGUGCCUGACGGUACCCACAGAGGAAGUCCCGGCUAACUCCGUGCCAGCAGCCGCGGUAAUACGGGGGGGACAAGCGUUGUUCGGAUUUACUGGGCGUAAAGGGCGCGCAGGCGGGCCAUCAAGUCGGAUGUGAAACCGGUCGGCUUAACCGACCGCCUGCAUCCGAUACUGGUGGUCUUGAGUACGGGAGAGGAGAGUGGAAUUCCAGGUGUAGCGGUGAAAUGCGUAGAUAUCUGGAAGAACACCAGUUGCGAAGGCGGCUCUCUGGACCGAUACUGACGCUCAAGCGCGAAGGCUUGGGGAGCAAACAGGAUUAGAAACCCCUGUAGUCC